GCGCUCAUCUUUUUCUCUCCUCCGUCUCUCUCUCUUCUCUCUAUCCCUCUCCCACCGACGUAGUAGUGGUGGUGGAGCCUUCAGGAACCGCUCGCACGCACGCUCGACACCCUCCCAUGCCAAAAAAGUUGAGGGGGAGUGGAGAGAGGGGAGAGGGAAGCAGAGGGGAGGGGAGAGGGUGGUGGCGGUGGAUGGGGCGCGGCGCCGCCGCAGUCGCUGCCAUGCCGAGGGGGGAAGGUAAGGGGGGGACAAGCUAAAGCCCCAGAGGAGGGGAGGUCAGCUAGCCUCGAGGACCGGUCAGCUGGAAGAGGAAAACGGACUACGCCUUCUCUAAAACCCCUACGGCGCGACGGCCCCGCCGCGCUCAGAAGGCGCCCAAAGCAAGCCCGCCUAAACCCCGACAAACAAAUCGGGGAACGGCUGCGCAAAACCACCCUACCUCACUAAGAAUCUCGAGUCCCCAAAUCCGGCCGCCCGCUUAUAUGAGCACAGCGCACUAAACUAAACUACCAGCCGAGUCAGGGCUAGAGGAGGCGCGACGGCCACUCCGCGGGACAGGUCUACGCCUAACUUCGCCGACCAAUCCUCAAAACCAACCAAAACCCAGUCGUGUGUGGGUCUAGCUCGGGGCAACCGCAACCCCUAAGACGACAGACUAAAGGUAAAGAGGACGAUCCUAAAGAGGACAAAUCCUAAAAACUAACCAACCAGCCUAUCUACCGACCCAAACCGGUCUCGCGAUACUGCUAGAAGAACCCCCAAACAUUAGUCUGCUUCCAUCAUUUUGGUCAUCGUGAACGCAAUCCCCCAACCCGGCCCUAAGAGAAAAAAACAAAAACUCGUAUUUACCUUAUCCGAAAAUCGUUUAGUAAUCGCCUAGUUUUCUCGAAUACCGUUUUUAAUUACUAAUGUACCUGACUAACCCAUGACUUGUACAGAAAUGAGACGGUAUGUAUCUGACAGUAGUAAGUAGUCGGUGGUACAAGACAUAACUACCUUUACGAUUUAUGUCAUACAACCUGUCUUUUAUAUACGAUACAAAUCUUUCCUCCUUGAGCCACGAUUAAUCAUAGACAAAACGAACAACUACGGUACGUCCAACACUACUUUUCGACGUAGACAAUUCCCUGUGUUCAAGACGAUGGCUCAAGCUGUACCCAAGUCCUUUGGACUACCACUUCUUCCACCACUCCGGGUCGAGAAAACUGGAACUGUAUGUAGAACUGUUUUCGACCUUCCUCCUACACUGGACGGGUUAGACGGAUCUAAUGGGGGUGUUGCGUCAGGAGGACUCCACGUGCAGAAUGCUCUUCCCAACGUCCGGCAAACACACGCUGUGGCUGGUCUGGGCGAGUUUGACAGAACUCUCCAAGUUUCCACGAAUACUCGAUGGACGGUUACAGUUCCAGAGCAGAUAUCGACACCGGGGAGAACUAUCGUAGGUGUAGCACAGUAGAGUGCGUUUGUUGGCGGGUUCAACGGGUAACACGUCUCCACUACAAUAGCCCACCUAACACUAGUCGCUCCGAGCAGACGUAGAAUUGGUCUUCUUCUCUACGACACUUCUCCUAACGACGAGGAAAUGACCGUUGAAGUUACUCGAAGUCUUCGUGUGUGUCGUUUUCGUAGGUCUAAGUGCGGGAAGUCUUUAGCUGGGACGGUCCGUUCAACUAACCCUGUUGAAGGUCGUUAGAAGACUAUAGCACCUACAGAACUCGUGCUAUGUACGUGUUCAAGGAUUACCAUAGCAAGAGCCUCUGAUACAGUAACUCAUACCCCUACUACUAUGACCUCUGCUGAUACUUCACGAGGUGUCCCAAUCCUCCUUCACCACCAGAAAAUAAACAACGUUCCGUAAAACAUCUAUAGGUUCUUCGGCUUCUUCUCCCUCUCCUUCCCUGUCAUCUCCUUCACCUUCCUCCUUGUCGUUAGUCCGAGUAGACCUCUUGAAGUUAGAGCUCCAAGGCUGUGUUCGACAACUGGACUCCCUUGAGUCUAAACUACUUUAGCUACUACUCAUGUAACAGUGUCCCCGGCAUGGAUCAUACCGUUGUGGUCCUUCUUACCGGUCAAAGGUAAUGUCCCUAUGUUCUAUACCAGCCACUAGCCCGCAUGAUGAAUUGUCUUGGUCGACUAUUUCUUUUUCAUAAACGUCGGCGCUACACUACGGCGUCGGAAGUCCUUUGAGGUGGGGGAGGGGUAAAAAGCAAAGAAAAGGGCGGGCCCAGCAACGAUCCGCGGCGAGGUCGGGCCUGAAGGACACGUAUUUUUCAUCGUUGUCUUUGGGAAGCGGCGGCAGGAGCAAGCAAACGUUAUCUAAAAGUAAAUGGCAUCGAAGGUAAGACAUAUAUAAAUCGUGGGUAGAAUAUGUCACUACGGCCACUUUUCGGAAAAAAAAGAGAAAAAACCUUUACUUUACUUACAGCCCACUACGACGUCGGCGCCGAGUGGCCGGGUCGGCACCAAUGUCAAAGACUUAAACCAACCACCAGAGACUCUGCUGUGGCCCGCGCAAUAGACAGUCCACUCCUUCGAAGGUCGAAGCUUGUUCACGGACUUCUCAGUGUGCCCACGCCACGUUUACGCGUUACCGGACCAACCACGUCGUGGGUGUGCUUUAACGGGAAACGGACACGACGACGUCCGUGACAUUCGUUGCCCCCCGUCGAACUAACGGACUUAAGUAAACGUACAGCACACCACGACGCAGAGCGUAGACCAAAUUCCGCGACUACUCCUGUCCACGCACAGCCGCCACACGCACGACUACUACCUUAGAGUGAAAACCCAGUGCACGACCAAGCCCCGAGGCCC
Molecule: ribosomal RNA, 2814 nt
Filed under: Triticum aestivum (bread wheat)
Lineage: Eukaryota; Viridiplantae; Streptophyta; Magnoliopsida; Poales; Poaceae
Description: partial small subunit ribosomal RNA
Source: RNAcentral